RNAcentral lists this ribosomal RNA (460 nucleotides) under uncultured bacterium. RNAcentral describes it as "partial 16S ribosomal RNA". It matches the Rfam family "Bacterial small subunit ribosomal RNA", at positions 338 to 795 of the family's 1533-position model. The record is from RNAcentral.
CCUACGGGAGGCAGCAGUGAGGAAUAUUGGUCAAUGGGCGCAAGCCUGAACCAGCCAAGUCGCGUGCAGGAUGACGGUCCUAUGGGUUGUAAACCGCUUUUUUAAGGGAGCAAAUGGCGCUACGUGUAGCGUUUUGCGCGUACCUUACGAACAAGGAUCGGCUAAAUCCGUGCCAGCAGCCGCGGUAAUACGGAAGGUGCGGGCGUUAUCCGGAAUUAUUGGGGUUAAAGGGUGCGCAGGCGGGAUGUCAAGCCUGCUGUGAAAUGUUCGGGCUCAACCCCGGCCGUGCAGUUGAAACUGGCGUGCUGGAGUGAGCGAGAAGGAGGCGGAAUUCGUGGUGUAGCGGUGAAAUGCAUAGAGAUCACGAAGAACCCCGAUUGCGAAGGCAGCAUGCUGGAGCGUAACUGACGCUGAUGCACGAAAGCGUGGGUAUCGAACAGGAUUAGAUACCCGAGUAGUC